AAUGCAAAUAUAAGAUCUCCAUCUCUGACUGUGAGUCUACAUAUUUGAAUAUGUACCAUAUUUUCAUAUGAGAUACAGAACGAGUAUCGAUCAAUACACCUAUAGGGUGUCGAUUGAUACUCUUCCUAACAUGCUUUAAUGGUCGAAACAAUAAGUUAACUAAUCGGCAAUAGACCAGCGUGUCAUUGCGCCUAAUAACUAGCUCAACAGGAUUAUAUUCAGAUAUGAGCAUAUUCUCGCAGUUGUCAACUCCUAAGAUCAAGAUUCUAGCUACUGCAG
This 279-nucleotide long non-coding RNA is filed under the name Brassica napus (rape). RNAcentral's name for it is "long non-coding RNA (BNAP_LNC023085)". Lineage: Eukaryota; Viridiplantae; Streptophyta; Magnoliopsida; Brassicales; Brassicaceae. The record is from RNAcentral.